CUGAUACUUCCUCCGUCCGGAAAUACUUGUCAUUGAAAUGGAUGUAUCUAGAUGCAUUUUAGUUGUAGAUACAUUCAUUUUCAUUCAUUUUGAUGACAAAUAUUUCUGGACGGAGGGAGUAUUAC
This is a non-coding RNA of Triticum aestivum (bread wheat), 125 nucleotides long. The record is from Rfam. Lineage: Eukaryota; Viridiplantae; Streptophyta; Magnoliopsida; Poales; Poaceae.